UCGAGCGGCCAAAGUGGGGAGGUUCACCUGUUCCCAUUUCGAACACAGAAGUUAAACUUCCCGACGGUCUGGACAUUACUCCUGAACAAGGGGGAAAUCCAGAUCGCUGCUCACU
This 115-nucleotide ribosomal RNA is filed under the name Candidatus Aenigmatarchaeota archaeon. The record is from RNAcentral. Lineage: Archaea; Nanobdellati; Candidatus Aenigmatarchaeota.